CAUAAUUGCUAGGGGUGCCUACGGGCUGAGAGAUGAAAUCAGUAUUUCAUUAACCCUUAACCUGAUCUGGAUAAUGCCAGCGUAGGGAAGCGACUUGAAGUAAUA
This 105-nucleotide non-coding RNA is filed under the name Sporomusa malonica. RNAcentral's name for it is "TPP sequence". It matches the Rfam family "TPP riboswitch aptamer (THI element)". Rfam says of the family: Vitamin B(1) in its active form thiamin pyrophosphate (TPP) is an essential coenzyme that is synthesised by coupling of pyrimidine and thiazole moieties in bacteria. The record is from Rfam by way of RNAcentral. Lineage: Bacteria; Bacillati; Bacillota; Negativicutes; Selenomonadales; Sporomusaceae.